CGGAGGAGCAUGUGGUUUAAUUCGAUGAUACGCGAGGAACCUUACCUGGGCUCGAACGUAAGAUGACUGUAGGUGAAAGCUUACAUCUCUUCGGAGCAUUUUACGAGGUGCUGCAUGGUUGUCGUCAGCUCGUGCCGUGAGGUGUCGGGUUAAGUCCCAUAACGAGCGCAACCCUAUUGCUAGUUACCAUCAUUAAGUUGGGGACUCUAGCGAGACUGCCAGUGAUAAACUGGAGGAAGGUGGGGAUGACGUCAAAUCAUCAUGCCCCUUAUGACCUGGGCUACAAACGUGAUACAAUGGCUGGAACAAAGGGAUGCGAAGCAGUGAUGUGGAGCGAAACCCAUAAAAACAGUCUCAGUUCGGAUUGAAGUCUGCAACUCGACUUCAUGAAGUCGGAAUCGCUAGUAAUCGCGGAUCAGAACGCCGCGGUGAAUACGUUCUCGGGGUUU
Molecule: ribosomal RNA, 449 nt
Filed under: uncultured Acholeplasma sp.
Lineage: Bacteria; Bacillati; Mycoplasmatota; Mollicutes; Acholeplasmatales; Acholeplasmataceae
Description: partial 16S ribosomal RNA
Rfam family: Bacterial small subunit ribosomal RNA
Source: RNAcentral